GCCCGGGUGGUGUAGUCUGGAAAGCCUCCACCAGAAACACAUCGGCCUGUGGAGCCGAAAAACCCGGGUUCAAAUCCCGGCCCGGGCC
RNAcentral lists this transfer RNA (88 nucleotides) under Thermofilum sp. ex4484_82. RNAcentral describes it as "tRNA-His". It matches the Rfam family "tRNA". Rfam says of the family: Transfer RNA (tRNA) molecules are approximately 80 nucleotides in length. Their secondary structure includes four short double-helical elements and three loops (D, anti-codon, and T loops). Lineage: Archaea; Thermoproteati; Thermoproteota; Thermoprotei; Thermofilales; Thermofilaceae. RNAcentral also lists the same sequence under 2 other names. The record is from RNAcentral.